CCUACGUGCGGCAGCAGUGGGGGAUAUUGCACAAUGGGGGGAACCCUGAUGCAGCGACGCCGCGUGGGUGAAGAAGCGCCUCGGCGCGUAAAGCCCUGUCUUCAGGGACGAUAAUGACGGUACCUGAGGAGGAAGCCACGGCUAACUACGUGCCAGCAGCCGCGGUAAUACGUAGGUGGCGAGCGUUGUCCGGAUUUACUGGGCGUAAAGGGAGCGUAGGCGGACUUUUAAGUGAGAUGUGAAAUACUCGGGCUCAACUUGAGUGCUGCAUUUCAAACUGGAAGUCUAGAGUGCAGGAGAGGAGAAUGGAAUUCCUAGUGUAGCGGUGAAAUGCGUAGAGAUUAGGGAGAACACCAGUGGCGAAGGCGAUUCUCUGGACUGUAACUGACGCUGAGGCUCGAAAGCGUGGGGAGCAAACAGGAUUAGAUACCCCAGUAGUC
This 440-nucleotide ribosomal RNA is filed under the name uncultured bacterium. Its description in RNAcentral is "partial 16S ribosomal RNA". It matches the Rfam family "Bacterial small subunit ribosomal RNA", at positions 338 to 795 of the family's 1533-position model. The record is from RNAcentral.